UACGUAGGGACCGAGCGUUGUCCGGAUUCAUUGGGCGUAAAGAGCUCGUAGGCGGCUGCUCAAGUCGAAUGUGAAAACUCGAGGCUCAACCUCGAGCCUGCAUUCGAUACUGGGCGGCUAGAGUCUGGUAGGGGGAUCUGGAAUUCCUGGUGUAGCGGUGGAAUGCGCAGAUAUCAGGAGGAACACCGGUGGCGAAGGCGGGUCUCUGGACAGUUCCUGACGCUGAGGCACGAAGGCCAGGGGAGCAAACGGG
Molecule: ribosomal RNA, 253 nt
Filed under: uncultured bacterium
Lineage: Bacteria
Description: partial 16S ribosomal RNA
Rfam family: Bacterial small subunit ribosomal RNA
Source: RNAcentral